AUGGCCACAUCACAUUGAAACACAGUUUCCCAUAUGAUCACCAUAGUUAAGCAAUGUCAUGCCUGGUCAGUACCUAGAUGCUUGACCAUUUGGGAAUAGCAGGUGCUGUAAG
Non-coding RNA from Acanthosepion pharaonis, 112 nucleotides. The record is from the annotation of a GenBank genome assembly. Lineage: Eukaryota; Metazoa; Mollusca; Cephalopoda; Sepiida; Sepiidae.